RNAcentral lists this ribosomal RNA (254 nucleotides) under uncultured bacterium. Its description in RNAcentral is "partial 16S ribosomal RNA". It matches the Rfam family "Bacterial small subunit ribosomal RNA", at positions 524 to 776 of the family's 1533-position model. The record is from RNAcentral.
UACGUAGGGUGCAAGCGUUGUCCGGAAUUCCUGGGCGUAAAGAGCUCGUAGGCGGUGUGUCGCGUCGGCCGUGAAAACCUGCAGCUUAACUGUGGGCUUGCGGUCGAUACGGGCAUCACUGGAGUUCGGCAGGGGAGACUGGAAUUCCUGGUGUAGCGGUGAAAUGCGCAGAUAUCAGGAGGAACACCGGUGGCGAAGGCGGUUCUCUGGGCAUUACCUGACGCUGAGGAGCGAAAGUGUGGGGAGCGAACAGG